AAGGUUUUACGGGUGAAUGCUCUUUGGAGAUGAAAAUCUCAGAGAGAGGAAAGUCCGGACUCCGCAUGGCAGCCUAAGGGGUAACGCCCCUCCACCGCAAGGUGAGGACCAGUGGAACAGAAAGAAUGUCCAGAGCUAUGAUCUUAAUAGUGGGAACGGGAGCUAUUUUGGGAGCUGCUGGAGUGAAAACAGCUAAACUUCUAGGCGGAGCAAGGUCAAAUAGGGAGACGUUGGAGUGCGGCCAGCACAAGUCUUCGGGUAGACUGCUUAAGGGUAUGAGUAAUUGUGCUCUCAGAGGAAUGUUCACCAAUGUUAGUUUGUCGAGGAACUAGCGGAACAGAAUCCGGCUUACAGCAAAACCUUUUAA
Molecule: RNase P RNA, 367 nt
Filed under: Bdellovibrionales bacterium
Lineage: Bacteria; Pseudomonadati; Bdellovibrionota; Bdellovibrionia; Bdellovibrionales
Description: RNase P RNA component class A
Rfam family: Bacterial RNase P class A
About the family: Ribonuclease P (RNase P) is a ubiquitous endoribonuclease, found in archaea, bacteria and eukarya as well as chloroplasts and mitochondria. Its best characterised activity is the generation of mature 5'-ends of tRNAs by cleaving the 5'-leader elements of precursor-tRNAs.
Source: RNAcentral